GACGAACGCUGGCGGCGUGCCUAAUACAUGCAAGUAGAACGCUGAAGGAGGAGCUUGCUUCUCCGGAUGAGUUGCGAACGGGUGAGUAACGCGUAGGUAACCUGCCUGGUAGCGGGGGAUAACUAUUGGAAACGAUAGCUAAUACCGCAUAAGAGUAGAUGUCGCAUGACAUUUGCUUAAAAGGUGCAACUGCACCACUACCAGAUGGACCUGCGUUGUAUUAGCUAGUUGGUGAGGUAACGGCUCACCAAGGCAACGAUACAUAGCCGACCUGAGAGGGUGAUCGGCCACACUGGGACUGAGACACGGCCCAGACUCCUACGGGAGGCAGCAGUAGGGAAUCUUCGGCAAUGGACGGAAGGCUGACCGAGCAACGCCGCGUGAGUGAAGAAGGGUUUCGGAUCGUAAAGCUCUGUUGUAAGAGAAGAACGAGUGUGAGAGUGGAAAGUUCACACUGUGACGGUAUCUUACCAGAAAGGGACGGCUAACUACGUG
RNAcentral lists this ribosomal RNA (495 nucleotides) under uncultured bacterium. Its description in RNAcentral is "partial 16S ribosomal RNA". It matches the Rfam family "Bacterial small subunit ribosomal RNA", at positions 28 to 507 of the family's 1533-position model. The record is from RNAcentral.